CUCCAGAAGGGAAGUGUCUGCUCUCGCUCUGGCUGCUAUCCUGCUGGAGCCACCAGCCUCAUCUUUCACUGUCCUGCACAGAGCAUGCCUCAGGACAGUAGGCAGCAAUAACCCAGCGUCUCCACCUGUGCAAUAAUUAACCACCUCGUGCUGCUCCAGCUUCCAUGAACUCCUCAUUCUAGGCACCCACAGGCAUCCCAGUACCUUACUCUCCUAGUUCUGAUCAAGAUUCUCACCAAGAUAAUUUGUUGGAUCAUCAGGUAAAGCUCUUUGCUACUGCUGCUUCACCAUGCCUGUCUUCUUCCUGAGAUGAUGCCAAU
Long non-coding RNA from Microtus ochrogaster (prairie vole), 320 nucleotides. RefSeq lists it as uncharacterized. The transcript is spliced from 3 exons. The record is from RefSeq and is a predicted model, not a curated record. NCBI's taxonomy places the organism in Eukaryota, Metazoa, Chordata, Mammalia, Rodentia, Cricetidae.